RNAcentral lists this ribosomal RNA (229 nucleotides) under uncultured bacterium. RNAcentral describes it as "partial 16S ribosomal RNA". It matches the Rfam family "Bacterial small subunit ribosomal RNA", at positions 15 to 235 of the family's 1533-position model. The record is from RNAcentral.
GAUCAUGGCUCAGGAUGAACGCUAGCUACAGGCUUAACACAUGCAAGUCGAGGGGCAGUAUGGUCUUAGCUUGCUAAGGCCGAUGGCGACCGGCGCACGGGUGAGUAACACGUAUCCAACCUGCCGUCUACUCUUGGACAGCCUUCUGAAAGGAAGAUUAAUACAAGAUGGCAUCAUGAGUCCGCAUGUUCACAUGAUUAAAGGUAUUCCGGUAGACGAUGGGGAUGCG